GGGAGAACUUGCACAAUUGGUGGCUGACUAAAUACUUUUUUGCCCCACUGUAGCUGAAAAGAGAGAACAGUAACUUAUUAGUUCAGGUUCAUGUUUUAUCUAUUGAUACUACAUUCUCAUCACUGCUCAUAUACAUAUAUAAUACUGGAUUAAAUAAUGAUGUCGUAAUAACUGCUUACUGUACAUCUCUCCACUGAUCUCCACAGUGACCUGCACAAAGGGUUCCAGGACUCUGCACACCUCCUCCACCACCUCCCAUUCCUCUUGGGUCAGAGCAUUAACAGGUGCAUUGACAAAGGCCAGGGUAGAGAUGAUGGCAUCCCCAUCUAGUUUUGUGUAGACUUUUUGUGUAGACUUUUUUCAGCACCUACUGUGCUCCUGUGGAAGUAUUCCACAGCUGCUUUCACUUUGUCCACAGUCUGCUUCAUCACCUUCAGAGCAUCUCUUACAAUCAGGUUGAUUGUGUGGGCAGGACAUGGAUGAUGGGUCCAUUUGAACAUUUUCAUGGCUUUGGUUAUGUUAGCUGCAUUGUCGCUAACACAACAGACCACUUUUCCAUAUACUUGCCAUUCUCUUGCCACUCUCAACAGUUCCUCUGCCAAGUUCUCUGAGGUGUGUCUGUCGCUGAACUCAAAGCAGUCCAGAAGACAGCUAGACAUCAAACCAUCUUCAAUGAAGUGACAUGUAACCGACAUGUAAGAAGUGGUUACCCUUGAUGUCCAGCAGUCAGUGGUAAGGCAAACUGCAGUAGCUUUCUGGACUCUUUCCCGCCCUGAAGCCUGUGUGCUCCCGUACAGUUGUGGAAUAAGUGAUUUUGAAAGGGUUUUCCUGCUUGGAAUUGUGUACAUUGGAUUUAGACUGUUGCUAUAAUUUCUGAAACCUCUGUCCUCCACGAUCGAAAAUGGCUGGAAAUCGGUGGCAAUCAUUUUAGCCAAUGCAAUAUUAAUUUAGGCUGGUUUUGCUACAGACUUUUGCAUAAACUGGUCCAUAGAAGACUGCGUUGCUGUGGGUCGCGUAGUAGGUCCACUUGACUGAGUGGAUACAUCUCCACGUGUGGAGGUGCUGGUUCCACCACUGCCAGUAGUAGGUCCACUUGACUGAGUGGAUACAUCUCCACGUGUGGAGGUGCUGGUUCCACCACUGCCAGUAGUAGGUCCACUUGACUGAGUGGAUACAUCUCCACGUGUGGAGGUGCUGGUUCCACCACUGCCAGUAGUAGGUCCACUUGACUGAGUGGAUACAUCUCCACGUGUGGAGGUGCUGGUUCCACCACUGCCAGUAGUAGGUCCACUUGACUGAGUGGAUACAUCUCCACGUGUGGAGGUGCUGGUUCCACCACUGCCAGUAGUAGGUCCACUUGACUGAGUGGAUACAUCUCCACGUGUGGAGGUGCUGGUUCCACCACUGCCAGUAGUAGGUCCACUUGACUGAGUGGAUACAUCUCCACGUGUGGAGGUGCUGGUUCCACCACUGCCAGUAGUAGGUCCACUUGACUGAGUGGAUACAUCUCCACGUGUGGAGGUGCUGGUUCCACCACUGCCAGUAGUAGGUCCACUUGACUGAGUGGAUACAUCUCCACGUGUGGAGGUGCUGGUUCCACCACUGCCAGUAGUAGGUCCACUUGACUGAGUGGAUACAUCUCCACGUGUGGAGGUGCUGGUUCCACCACUGCCAGUAGUAGGUCCACUUGACUGAGUGGAUACAUCUCCACGUGUGGAGGUGCUGGUUCCACCACUGCCAGUAGUAGGCCUACUUGACUGAGUGGAUACAUCUCCACGUGUGGGGGUGCUGGCUCUACCACUAUCACUAGCAGGCCUACUUGACUGAGUAGUCUCCCCCUCUCUGUUUCUACUUCUUCAUCUCCCCCUCUGUUUCUACCUCUUCCUCUUCUUCAUCUCCCCCUCUCUCUGUGUGUUGAUUUGUAGCAUUCCCUCUGAAGUAGGCCACAUUGUCACAUCUCUUAGUAACAUACCUGUUUGCACAGAUUCCUUCAUGCACAAAUAUUUGAGUGCAGCACUGCCCAACAAGUUGUUUUCGGUGCGUCACACUACACACACUUUCGGUGUGUGACACACAUACAUGCACAUUGUGCUAUUCCCCUCAGGAAAACAAACAGUCAUUAUGAGGUCAAGUUUAAAAAAGGAUCCAACAAUAAUAGUCUCACUUUGAAAUAUAAUUGUUUAUUAAAACAUUUACUUGGAAUAAUAGAAUACUUAAUAUAUCGGUUUUAAAUAUGUCUUAGGAUGUGGAUAAUAUGAAUAAUAAUAAUAAUAUAUGGUAGUAUUGAGUGAUAAAAACAAAACAAAUCCAUGUGACAAACAUACAAAACCAGAAAACAAUGUUAACCAAA
This is a long non-coding RNA of Oncorhynchus keta (chum salmon), 2350 nucleotides long. RefSeq lists it as uncharacterized. Lineage: Eukaryota; Metazoa; Chordata; Actinopteri; Salmoniformes; Salmonidae. The transcript is spliced from 5 exons. The record is from RefSeq and is a predicted model, not a curated record.